GUAGUCCAUGCCGUAAACGGUGGGCGCUAGGUGUGAGUCCCUUCCACGGGGUUCGUGCCGUAGCUAACGCAUUAAGCGCCCCGCCUGGGGAGUACGGCCGCAAGGCUAAAACUCAAAGGAAUUGACGGGGGCCCGCACAAGCGGCGGAGCAUGUGGAUUAAUUCGAUGCAACGCGAAGAACCUUACCUGGGCUUGACAUACACCAGAUCGUCGUAGAGAUACGGUUUCCCUUUGUGGUUGGUGUACAGGUGGUGCAUGGUUGUCGUCAGCUCGUGUCGUGAGAUGUUGGGUUAAGUCCCGCAACGAGCGCAACCCUUGUCUUAUGUUGCCAGCAAUUCGGUUGGGGACUCGUGAGAGACUGCCGGGGUUAACUCGGA
Molecule: ribosomal RNA, 377 nt
Filed under: uncultured bacterium
Lineage: Bacteria
Description: bacterial SSU rRNA
Rfam family: Bacterial small subunit ribosomal RNA
Source: RNAcentral